RNAcentral lists this ribosomal RNA (518 nucleotides) under Scheffersomyces shehatae. RNAcentral's name for it is "eukaryotic LSU rRNA". It matches the Rfam family "Eukaryotic large subunit ribosomal RNA", at positions 111 to 647 of the family's 3401-position model. Lineage: Eukaryota; Fungi; Ascomycota; Pichiomycetes; Serinales; Debaryomycetaceae. The record is from RNAcentral.
AAAUUUGAAAUCUGGCACCUUCGGUGUCCGAGUUGUAAUUUGAAGAAGGUAACUUUGGAGUUGGCUCUUGUCUAUGUUCCUUGGAACAGGACGUCACAGAGGGUGAGAAUCCCGUGCGAUGAGAUGUCCAACUCUAUGUAAAGUGCUUUCGAAGAGUCGAGUUGUUUGGGAAUGCAGCUCUAAGUGGGUGGUAAAUUCCAUCUAAAGCUAAAUAUUGGCGAGAGACCGAUAGCGAACAAGUACAGUGAUGGAAAGAUGAAAAGAACUUUGAAAAGAGAGUGAAAAAGUACGUGAAAUUGUUGAAAGGGAAGGGUUUGAGAUCAGACUUGGUAUUUUGUAUGUCUUGCUUUCGGGUGGGGCCUCUGCAGUUUACUGGGCCAGCAUCGGUUUGGACGGUAGGAUAAUGACAUUGGAAUGUGGCACUACUUCGGUGGUGUGUUAUAGACUUUGUUGAUACUGCCUGUCUAGACCGAGGACUGCGUCUUUGACUAGGAUGCUGGCAUAAUGAUCCUAAACCG